Molecule: long non-coding RNA, 536 nt
Organism: Sarcophilus harrisii (Tasmanian devil)
Lineage: Eukaryota; Metazoa; Chordata; Mammalia; Dasyuromorphia; Dasyuridae
Exons: 3
Source: RefSeq, a predicted model, not a curated record
AGUUGUAUAAGAUGAAGGUUUGCUCGUGAGUCCUCCAUGCGGUAUAUGUCUGUGGCCCAAAGCAGGGCAUUAGGCUUAGGCAGAGAAAUGGACAUUGGGAAGGGCCCAAUUCAGAUGCCCAGGCUCAGAGGGAAGGCCAGCUGGAGGGUAUGAUAGCAUAGGGAGUACAGGGAAACACGGUCAUACUCCAGUCAUUCACACUUAUGGCAGACAUGACAAAUUCACUCAUGAACUCUCCAAAGACCCAGCUGGGAAGGGGAUAGAGCAUAGCCUGAAAGGGCAUGCAACAUACCAGGAAGAUGAUGACUGCCAAUGGCGAUGUAGAAGUUGGUGACAGUCCUCAUCUGCUUGUGCUUAGAGAUCACAAGGAGAUGACUAAUGAAUUGCCUGCUAAUCCCACUACUGGAGGAGCAGCAACGAAGAAUGGCACCAUAUUAAGAUAAGAUGGAUAUGGAAAUAUAUAGAUGGAGAGAAGAGCCAGGAAGUGAAGAUAGUAUAUCUUUUGAGUCCUCUGGAAAUCAUCAUUAGUGUUGAUG